Molecule: long non-coding RNA, 272 nt
Filed under: Mytilus galloprovincialis (Mediterranean mussel)
Lineage: Eukaryota; Metazoa; Mollusca; Bivalvia; Mytilida; Mytilidae
Source: RNAcentral
GUUUCCUCCCACCAUUCUAGAUUAUUUUCGAAAUGAUUUUUUUUUAAUUUCCAGUUCCCCCAAAAGCUUUCGAACGUAUUUCUAAAUAAAUCCGAUUGAAUAACUGAUGAGUUCAUUUUCCACGUUCCGGGACCGCGUUCUGGUUCAUUCGUUUUUAAUUUCAUGAACACACCGUCAUGGUCACUGAACGGAAAAUAAACUAAUUUUACCUGUUGUGAUUUAUAUUGAAGCUCACUACUAAUAAAUAUAUAAUCAAUUCGUGACCUUGAAUU